UACGGAGGGGGUUAGCGUUGUUCGGAAUGACUGGGCGUAAAGCGCGCGUAGGCGGAUCAGGAAGUUGGGGGUGAAAUCCCGGGGCUCAACCCCGGAAUGGCCUUCAAAACUCCUGGUCUUGAGUUCGAGAGAGGUGAGUGGAAUUCCGAGUGUAGAGGUGAAAUUCGUAGAUAUUCGGAGGAACAUCAGUGGCGAAGGCGGCUCACUGGCUCGACACUGACGCUGAGGUGCGAAAGCGUGGGGAGCAAACAGG
RNAcentral lists this ribosomal RNA (253 nucleotides) under uncultured bacterium. RNAcentral's name for it is "partial 16S ribosomal RNA". It matches the Rfam family "Bacterial small subunit ribosomal RNA", at positions 524 to 776 of the family's 1533-position model. The record is from RNAcentral.